Molecule: long non-coding RNA, 1343 nt
Filed under: Struthio camelus australis
Lineage: Eukaryota; Metazoa; Chordata; Aves; Struthioniformes; Struthionidae
Description: lncRNA (ENSSCUG00000015309.1)
Source: RNAcentral
GGAGAAGAGGAACUGGGGGGUGAAUCCCUUUGCCCGUGGGACGUCCUGGCUGUGGCGCUGGGUUCCCUGGUGUGGCCCUUAGGUUUGGAGAGGGGAAUCGAGUGGGUGAAGCCUCAGCUCCCGCCUCGCAGUGGGUCCGGUGAUUUAAUCCUCUUGGUGCGUAUGGGAAAAUUAACUGUGCCAGAUGAGCGCGUUGAGCUGCGCGUUACCUCCCCGGAGGAAGGGGCUGGAAUUAUGAGUGACUGCAAUAGCGGUUCGUAGUCAAAGCUCAUUAGCAGGGCUUGCGUUCCUGGUCCUGGCGUUAACUAUGACAGACGUGUGUUUUGUGGUCCCGGAAACAAGUGCUAGUCACGCACAAAUCACGGUGGUCUCUAUAUCCUGCUCGGAAAAAGUGGCAGACGCUUUCAGUCAACAGCAGUUGACUUCUCAGAACUGCUCGUCAGCUGUGAUAAGCUCUUAGGGGAGCGUUUAUGGACACAUGUAAAAUAAUUUCCAAAAAGCAUCCGUCAUCUUUAUCAUCCCCCUACGAAGUAAAAGGGUUUAUUUUGUUGCUGGAAAAGUUUGCAGAGAACUGAAUGAAAUUGGGGAAGAUGGGAGGGAAUUGAUGGUUUUUAGCGUCUUUGCAGACAUGACUCUAGGUUUAAAUACAAGAAAAGAGGGAUAAUUCAUGUUCCUGUAAGACUAAAAACGGGCAGUAAAAAGCCCCUGGUAGCCACAGCCGUGAGUGGUGAGUCAUUGCCCGCCUUGCUUGAGAGCUUUGUCAGCCUCUCACGCUGCAAGCUGGCAGCACCAGGGGACGGACACGGGCGGGAAGCGCCGCGCGGUCUGGCACGCGGCGGAGCUGCGGGAAUAAUCUGAUGCUUUUGGUUUCAUUUAGGUCUGAGCCCUACUCUUCCACAGGUACGUUGUACUACGCCUAAGUUCAAUGUGCCUUAAAAGCGUCUGCGGAGUGACGGGACUUUGUCAUUUCGGUAGCGCUUGGAGUAGUCUGGUGGCUCCUGGAAGCUGAAGGAGUGUGUUUGCUCGUGGUUCUGCCAGAAGAGACCAUCGCUGGCGCUGGAGUGCUGCGGAAGAGAUUUCGGCUUCACGCUUGGCUCUUUAAAUUGUUGGAAAGGUUCGUAGCUGUUGCCGCAGUCAAGCUGCUGGGCAGUUUGCUUUCCUCCCGAGGUUUUGGAGCAGGAGCGGCCCCGUUGCGGCAGCGCCAGUCGUGGCUCUUCGGACACUGCACCGGGCACCGGAGAUUCGCCCGUGCACAAUACCUGCACGGCGUUGAGCGUUGCCCUUUCCAGGGGCCUCUUCCCCGCCGGAAGCUGCGAACGAAAACAAUAUUUGCAGAGAAGUAA